CUUGGCGACCAUAGCGUUUUGGACCCACCUGAUCCCAUCCCGAACUCAGAAGUGAAACGAAACAGCGUCGAUGGUAGUGUGGGGU
This 85-nucleotide ribosomal RNA is filed under the name Vibrio mimicus. Lineage: Bacteria; Pseudomonadati; Pseudomonadota; Gammaproteobacteria; Vibrionales; Vibrionaceae. The record is from RNAcentral.